This 343-nucleotide unclassified non-coding RNA is filed under the name soil metagenome. RNAcentral describes it as "partial contains 5.8S ribosomal RNA, internal transcribed spacer 2, and large subunit ribosomal RNA". The stretch from base 1 to 121 matches the Rfam family "5.8S ribosomal RNA", at positions 35 to 154 of the family's 154-position model. The record is from RNAcentral.
GAUGAAGAACGCAGCGAAAUGCGAUAAGUAAUGCGAAUUGCAGAAUUUCCGUGAGUCAUCGAAUCUUUGAACGCACAUUGCGCCCACUGGUAUUCCGGUGGGCAUGCCUGUUCGAGCGUCAUUAUCCCCCCUCAAACCCCGUGUUUGGUGUUAGACCCAAGUUGUGUGAACAACUGGUCUCAAAGACAAUGACGGCGUCCGUGGGACCCUCGGUGCAACGAGCUUUUAGGAGCACGCGCUGUGUUUCAAGGACCCUCCGGGCCGGUCUCCUAUUUAUCAUCAAGGUUGACCUCGGAUCAGGUAGGAAUACCCGCUGAACUUAAGCAUAUCAAUAAGCGGAGGA